Molecule: ribosomal RNA, 485 nt
Filed under: uncultured bacterium
Lineage: Bacteria
Description: bacterial SSU rRNA
Rfam family: Bacterial small subunit ribosomal RNA
Source: RNAcentral
ACUCAAAUGAAUAGACGGGGGCCCGCACAAGCAGCGGAGCGUGUGGUUUAAUUCGAUGAUACACGAAGAACCUUACCCAGGCUUGACAUGUUGGUAGUAGGGAUCCGAAAGGUGACCGACCCUUCGGGGAGCCUUCACAGGUGCUGCAUGGCUGUCGUCAGCUCGUGUCGUGAGAUGUCCGGUUAAGUCCGGUAACGAGCGCAACCCUCGCUGUGUGUUAUAUGUGUCACACGGGACUGCCGGUAUCAAGCCGGAGGAAGGUGGGGAUGACGUCAAGUCAGCAUGGCCUUUAUGUCUGGGGCUACACACACGCUACAAUGGCCAGUACAAUAGGUUGCAAGACCGCGAGGUGGAGCCAAUCCUUAAAGCUGGUCUCAGUUCGGAUUGCAGGCUGCAACUCGCCUGCAUGAAGUCGGAGUUGCUAGUAACCGCGCGUCAGCCAUAGUGCGGUGAAUACGUUCCCGGGCCUUGUACACACCGCCCGU